This 85-nucleotide transfer RNA is filed under the name Conchiformibius steedae. RNAcentral describes it as "tRNA-Leu". It matches the Rfam family "tRNA". From Rfam's summary of the family: Transfer RNA (tRNA) molecules are approximately 80 nucleotides in length. Their secondary structure includes four short double-helical elements and three loops (D, anti-codon, and T loops). RNAcentral also lists the same sequence under 2 other names. The record is from RNAcentral. Lineage: Bacteria; Pseudomonadati; Pseudomonadota; Betaproteobacteria; Neisseriales; Neisseriaceae.
GCCCAGGUGGCGAAAUUGGUAGACGCAGGGGACUCAAAAUCCCCCACCGAAAGGUGUGUCGGUUCGAGUCCGACCCUGGGCACCA